CAGAGUAGGACGCCUUGCGUAAAGUGCUGCCAAAAUGGGGAGUUGUCUGGCAGACGAAGGGUUUUUCCCGCGAUAAGGUAUCCGCACCCGCUGC
Molecule: non-coding RNA, 94 nt
Filed under: human gut metagenome
Description: THF riboswitch
Rfam family: THF (Tetrahydrofolate) riboswitch aptamer
About the family: THF riboswitch presents a pseudoknot that joins P1-P2 and the loop of P3 and two THF binding.
Source: RNAcentral